This 484-nucleotide ribosomal RNA is filed under the name uncultured bacterium. Its description in RNAcentral is "partial 16S ribosomal RNA". It matches the Rfam family "Bacterial small subunit ribosomal RNA", at positions 30 to 507 of the family's 1533-position model. The record is from RNAcentral.
AUUGAACGCUGGCGGCAGGCCUAACACAUGCAAGUCGAGCGGAUGAAGGGAGCUUGCUCCUGGAUUCAGCGGCGGACGGGUGAGUAAUGCCUAGGAAUCUGCCUGGUAGUGGGGGAUAACGUCCGGAAACGGGCGCUAAUACCGCAUACGUCCUGAGGGAGAAAGUGGGGGAUCUUCGGACCUCACGCUAUCAGAUGAGCCUAGGUCGGAUUAGCUAGUUGGUGGGGUAAAGGCCUACCAAGGCGACGAUCCGUAGCUGGUCUGAGAGGAUGAUCAGUCACACUGGAACUGAGACACGGUCCAGACUCCUACGGGAGGCAGCAGUGGGGAAUAUUGGACAAAGGGCGAAAGCCUGAUCCAGCCAUGCCGCGUGUGUGAAGAAGGUCUUCGGAUUGUAAAGCACUUUAAGUUGGGAGGAAGGGCAGUAAGUUAAUACCUUGCUGUUUUGACGUUACCAACAGAAUAAGCACCGGCUAACUUCGUG